RNAcentral lists this ribosomal RNA (440 nucleotides) under uncultured bacterium. RNAcentral's name for it is "partial 16S ribosomal RNA". It matches the Rfam family "Bacterial small subunit ribosomal RNA", at positions 338 to 795 of the family's 1533-position model. The record is from RNAcentral.
CCUACGGGUGGCAGCAGUGGGGAAUAUUGCACAAUGGGGGAAACCCUGAUGCAGCGAUGCCGCGUGAGUGAAGAAGGAAUUCGUUAUGUAAAGCUCUAUCAGCAGGGAAGAAAAUGACGGUACCUGAGUAAGAAGCCCCGGCUAACUACGUGCCAGCAGCCGCGGUAAUCCGGAGGGGGCAAGCGUUAUCCGGAUUUACUGGGUGUGAAGGGAGCGUAGACGGCAGGGCAAGUCUGGAGUGAAAGGCGCGGGCUCAACCCCCGGACUGCUCUGGAAACUGGUCGGCUGGAGUGCAGGAGAGGUAAGUGGAAUGCCUAGUGUAGCGGUGAAAUGCGUAGAUAUUAGGCGGAACACCAGUGGCGAAGGCGGCUUACUGGACUGUAACUGACGUUGAGGCUCGAAAGCGUGGGGAGCAAACAGGAUUAGAUACCCUUGUAGUC